This 338-nucleotide unclassified non-coding RNA is filed under the name soil metagenome. RNAcentral describes it as "partial contains 5.8S ribosomal RNA, internal transcribed spacer 2, and large subunit ribosomal RNA". The stretch from base 1 to 120 matches the Rfam family "5.8S ribosomal RNA", at positions 35 to 154 of the family's 154-position model. The record is from RNAcentral.
GAUGAAGAACGCAGUGAAAUGCGAUAAGUAAUGAGAAUUGCAGAAUUCAGUGAAUCAUCGAAUCUUUGAACGCACAUUGCGCCCGCCAGCAUUCUGGCGGGCAUGCCUGUUCGAGCGUCAUUUCAACCCUCAAGCUCUGCUUGGUGUUGGGGCCCUACGGUUGACGUAGGCCCUUAAAGGUAGUGGCGGACCCUCUCGGAGCCUCCUUUGCGUAGUAACUAACGUCUCGCAUUGGGAUUCGGAGGGACUCUUGCCGUAAAACCCCCAAAUUUUCUAAUGGUUGACCUCGGAUCAGGUAGGAAUACCCGCUGAACUUAAGCAUAUCAAUAAGCGGAGGA